AAUGCUGGCGGCAGGCCUAACACAUGCAAGUCGAGCGGACAACGUUCAAACGUUGUUAGCGGCGAACGGGUGAGUAAUACGUGAGAAUCUACCCAUCCCAACGUGAUAACAUAGUCAACACCAUGUCAAUAACGUAUGAUUCCUGCAACAGGUAAAGAUUUUAUCGGGGAUGGAUGAGCUCACGCUAGAUUAGCUAGUUGGUGAGAUAAAAGCCCACCAAGGCCAAGAUCUAUAGCUGGUCUGGAAGGAUGGACAGCCACAUUGGGACUGAGACAAGGCCCAACCCUCUAAGGAGGGCAGCAGUGAGGAAUAUUGGACAAUGGGCGUAAGCCUGAUCCAGCCAUGCCGCAUGAGUGAUUGAAGGUCCAACGGACUGUAAAACUCUUUUCUCCAGAGAUCAUAAAUGAUAGUAUCUGGUGAUAUAAGCUCCGGCCAACUUCGUGCCAGCAGCCGCGGUAAUACGAGGGGAGCGAGUAUUGUUCGGUUUUAUUGGGCGUAAAGGGUGUCCAGGUUGCUAAGUAAGUUAACAACAAAAUCUUGAGAUUCAACCUCAUAACGUUCGGUUAAUACUACUAAGCUCGAGCUUGGAUAGAGACAAACGGAAUUCCGAGUGUAGAGGUGAAAUUCGUUGAUACUUGGAGGAACACCAGAGGCGAAGGCGGUUUGUCAUACCAAGCUGACACUGAAGACACGAAAGCAUGGGGAGCAAACAGGAUUAGAUACCCUGGUAGUCCAUGCCCUAAACGUUGAGUGCUAACAGUUCGAUCAAGCCACAUGCUAUGAUCCAGGAUUGUACAGCUAACGCGUUAAGCACUCCGCCUGGGUAUUACGACCGCAAGGUUAAAACUCAAAGGAAUUGACGGAGACCCGCACAAGCGGUGGAGCAUGUGGUUUAAUUCGAAGCUACACGAAGAACCUUACCAGCCCUUGACAUACCAUGGCCAACCAUCCUGGAAACAGGAUGUUGUUCAAGUUAAACCCUUGAAAUGCCAGGAACAGGUGCUGCAUGGCUGUUGUCAGUUCGUGUCGUGAGAUGUAUGGUUAAGUCCCAAAACGAACACAACCCUCACCCAUAGUUGCCAUAAACACAAUUGGGUUCUCUAUGGGUACUGCUAACGUAAGUUAGAGGAAGGUGAGGACCACAACAAGUCAUCAUGGCCCUUAUGGGCUGGGCCACACACAUGCUACAAUGGUGGUUACAAAGAGCCGCAACGUUGUGAGACCGAGCAAAUCUCCAAAGACCAUCUCAGUCCGGAUUGUACUCUGCAACCCGAGUACAUGAAGUAGGAAUCGCUAGUAAUCGUGGAUCAGCAUGCCACGGUGAAUACGUUCUCGGGUCUUGUACACGCCGCCCGUCACACCAUGGGAGCUUCGCUCCGAUCGAAGUCAAGUUACCCUUGACCACAUCUUGGCAAGUGACCGA
Molecule: ribosomal RNA, 1423 nt
Filed under: Candidatus Hodgkinia
Lineage: Bacteria; Pseudomonadati; Pseudomonadota; Alphaproteobacteria; Hyphomicrobiales
Also listed under: 2 other names
Description: bacterial SSU rRNA
Rfam family: Bacterial small subunit ribosomal RNA
Source: RNAcentral